This 477-nucleotide ribosomal RNA is filed under the name uncultured bacterium. RNAcentral's name for it is "bacterial SSU rRNA". It matches the Rfam family "Bacterial small subunit ribosomal RNA", at positions 37 to 507 of the family's 1533-position model. The record is from RNAcentral.
UGGCGGGCGCGCCUAAUACAUGCAAGUCGAGCGAGAAGGUGUAGCAAUACACUUGUAAAGCGGCAAACGGGUGAGGAAUGCAUGGGUAACCUACCCUCGAGUGGGGAAUAACUAGCCGAAAGGUUAGCUAAUACCGCAUACGUUUCCGGAACUUCGGUUUCGGAAAGAAAGCAAUACCGUGGGUAUUGCGCUCCUGGAUGGGCUCAUGUCCUAUCAGCUUGUUGGUGAGGUAACGGCUCACCAAGGCUUCGACGGGUAGCUGGUCUGAGAGGACGAUCAGCCACACUGGCACUGCGACACGGGCCAGACUCCUACGGGAGGCAGCAGUAAGGAAUAUUGCGCAAUGGACGAAAGUCUGACGCAGCGACGCCGCGUGGGGGAUGAAGGUCUUCGGAUUGUAAACCCCUUUCGGGAGGGAAGAUGGAGUGGGUAACCACUUGGACGGUACCUCCAGAAGCAGCCACGGCUAACUUCGUG